ACCUGAUCCCAUCCCGAACUCAGAAGUGAAACGAUGCAUCGCCGAUGGUAGUGUGGGGCUUCCCCAUGUGAGAGUAGGUCAUCGUCAAGC
This 90-nucleotide ribosomal RNA is filed under the name Pseudomonas sp. The record is from RNAcentral. Lineage: Bacteria; Pseudomonadati; Pseudomonadota; Gammaproteobacteria; Pseudomonadales; Pseudomonadaceae. RNAcentral also lists the same sequence under 1 other name.